GACGAACGCUGCGGCGUGCCUUAACACAUGCAAGUCGAACCGAAAAGGCCCCACCUUGGUGGGGGUGCUCGAGUGGCGAACGGGUGAGUAACACGUGGGUGAUCUGCCCUGUACUUCGGGAUAAGCUUGGGAAACUGGGUCUAAUACCGGAUAGGACCAUGGUUUAGUGUCUCAUGGUGGAAAGAUUAUUGUUUUGGUGCAGGAUGAGCUCGCGGCCUAUCAGCUUGUUGGUGGGGUAAUGGCCUACCAAGGCGUCGACGGGUAGCCGGCCUGAGAGGGUGGACGGCCACAUUGGGACUGAGAUACGGCCCAGACCUCCUACGGGAGGCAGCAGUGGGGAAUAUUGCACAAUGGGCGCAAGCCUGAUGCACGACGCCGCGUGGGGGACGACGGGCUUCGGGUUGUAAACUCCUUUCGUUAGGGACGA
This 427-nucleotide ribosomal RNA is filed under the name Corynebacterium matruchotii. RNAcentral describes it as "bacterial SSU rRNA". It matches the Rfam family "Bacterial small subunit ribosomal RNA", at positions 28 to 448 of the family's 1533-position model. The record is from RNAcentral. Lineage: Bacteria; Bacillati; Actinomycetota; Actinomycetes; Mycobacteriales; Corynebacteriaceae.